AGAGUUUGAUCCUGGCUCAGGACGAACGCUGGCGGCGUGCCUAAUACAUGCAAGUCGAACGGUCUUUCUAUGGAAGCUUGCUUCCACUGAGAAGAUAGUGGCGAACGGGUGAGUAACACGUGGGUAACCUGCCCAUAAGAGGGGGAUAACAUCCGGAAACGGGUGCUAAUACCGCAUAGUUUUCUUGAUCGCAUGAUCGGGAAAGGAAAGACGGCCUUUGUGCUGUCGCUUAUGGAUGGACCCGCGGCGUAUUAGUUAGUUGGUGAGGUAACGGCUCACCAAGACGAUGAUACGUAGCCGACCUGAGAGGAUGAUCCGCCACACUGGGACUGAGACACGGCCCAGACUCCUACGGGAGGCAGCAGUGGGGAAUAUUGGACAAUGGGGGGAACCCUGAUCCAGCCAUGCCGCG
RNAcentral lists this ribosomal RNA (412 nucleotides) under uncultured bacterium. RNAcentral describes it as "bacterial SSU rRNA". It matches the Rfam family "Bacterial small subunit ribosomal RNA", at positions 8 to 401 of the family's 1533-position model. The record is from RNAcentral.